UACAUAGGGUGCAAGCGUUGUCCGGAAUUAUUGGGCGUAAAGAGCUCGUAGGCGGUUUGUCGCGUCUGCUGUGAAAACCCGAGGCUCAACCUCGGGCCUGCAGUGGGUACGGGCAGACUAGAGUGCGGUAGGGGAGAUUGGAAUUCCUGGUGUAGCGGUGGAAUGCGCAGAUAUCAGGAGGAACACCAAUGGCGAAGGCAGAUCUCUGGGCCGUAACUGACGCUGAGGAGCGAAAGCAUGGGGAGCGAACAGG
This 253-nucleotide ribosomal RNA is filed under the name uncultured bacterium. RNAcentral describes it as "partial 16S ribosomal RNA". It matches the Rfam family "Bacterial small subunit ribosomal RNA", at positions 524 to 776 of the family's 1533-position model. The record is from RNAcentral.